This 484-nucleotide ribosomal RNA is filed under the name uncultured bacterium. Its description in RNAcentral is "partial 16S ribosomal RNA". It matches the Rfam family "Bacterial small subunit ribosomal RNA", at positions 28 to 507 of the family's 1533-position model. The record is from RNAcentral.
GUUGAACGCUGGCGGCAUGCUUUACACAUGCAAGUCGAACGGCAGCGCGGGCUUCGGCCUGGCGGCGAGUGGCGAACGGGUGAGUAAUGCAUCGGAACGUGCCCAGUAGUGGGGGAUAGCCCGGCGAAAGCCGGAUUAAUCCCUCAUACGACCUGAGGGUGAAAGCGGGGGACCGAAAGGCCUCGCGCUAUUUGAGCGGCCGAUGUCGGAUUAGCUAGUUGGUGGGGUAAAGGGUUACCAAGGCGACGAUCCGUAGCUGGUCUGAGAGGACGACCAGCCACACGGGGACUGAGACACGGCCCAGACUCCUACGGGAGGCAGCAGUGGGGAAUUUUGGACAAGGGGGGCAAGCCUGAUCCAGCCAUGCCGCGUGAGGGAAGAAGGCCUUCGGGUUGUAAACCGCUUUUGUUCGGGAAGAAAUCCUGUGGGCUAAUACCCCGGGGGGAUGACGGUACCGGAAGAAUAAGCACCGGCUAACUACGUG